Molecule: non-coding RNA, 561 nt
Organism: Ictidomys tridecemlineatus (thirteen-lined ground squirrel)
Lineage: Eukaryota; Metazoa; Chordata; Mammalia; Rodentia; Sciuridae
Source: RefSeq, a predicted model, not a curated record
GCGCCUUGCCACUGAGCCACGUUCUCAAAGCCCCGGAACCGGCAUCCGGCUGCGCGCUGUCCUCACAACCUAGGGAAGUCUGCGGGACCCACCUGACACGCCCGAGAAAACUGAGGCCCAAGGCUGAAAGUGACCUGACCGAGGUUCCCCAGAGAUGUAUGCCUUUGACUAACAGAUACCGAAAAAACAAAUUUCUUGCUAUGCUCUGAGAUUCAACACGUAAGCAGAAUUGAGAACACCAAAUUCUAUUUGAGGGGCAGAGGUCUAAGAAGGCUUCAUAGAGGAGGUGAUGAUGGAGCCAGGCCGAAUCAGCCAGCCUAGGAGCCUCAGGAUCCCUCUACUCAAGCCAGCAUUCACUGCAACCUGACUAUGUGUCUGCCAGAGUCCUCAAGGAGUUCAGAGUCUGAGAGGGUAAACAGAUAUCAUCUACGAGAAUGAAGAAGGGUUGCUGAGUAGGGGCUCCAGUGUAAAGAAUAUCCAUUCUUCAAGCAUAGAUUCCAAGCCUCCCAUGAAUUCUAUACCACAAAUUCUCUCAAUAAAGCAGUUUUCUGCUUAAUUGUA